Molecule: long non-coding RNA, 343 nt
Filed under: Salmo salar (Atlantic salmon)
Lineage: Eukaryota; Metazoa; Chordata; Actinopteri; Salmoniformes; Salmonidae
Description: lncRNA (ENSSSAG00000084467.1, ENSSSAG00000120469.1)
Source: RNAcentral
AGGCUACAUGCCGCCCCAUUUAAUGUGUAUGUUGGGGCCUAGUCCCUCAUCCAGCGACUGUCAACACAACACCUCAGUCGUUACACCAAGAGAUAUGAAACCCUUGACAAGGUUGCUAGGUGUUGGGUUAAGGUCACUACAGUAUAAACUCAGUAUAGACCAGGUUAUGAGGUUGCUAGGUGUUGGGUUAAGGUCACUACAGUAUAAACUCAGUAUAGACCAGGUUAUGAGGUUGCUAGGUGUUGGGUUAAGGUCACUACAGUAUUAACUCAGUAUAGACCAGGUUAUGAGGUUGCUAGGUGUUGGGUUAAGGUCACUACAGUAUUAACUCAGUAUAAACCAG